UUAAGUUCAGCGGGUAUUCCUACCUGAUCCGAGGUCAACCUUCAGAAGUGGGUGUUUUACGGCAUGGCCGCGCCGCGAUCCGGUGCGAGGUGUGCUACUACGCAGGGGAAGCUACAGCGAGACCGCCACUGUUUUUCGGGGGCGGCUGCCGCCAGAGGGCGGGCUGCCGGUCCCCAACGCCAAGCCCGGGGGCUUGAGGG
RNAcentral lists this unclassified non-coding RNA (200 nucleotides) under Hypocreales sp. RNAcentral's name for it is "partial internal transcribed spacer 2". The record is from RNAcentral. Lineage: Eukaryota; Fungi; Ascomycota; Sordariomycetes; Hypocreales.